RNAcentral lists this ribosomal RNA (406 nucleotides) under uncultured bacterium. Its description in RNAcentral is "partial 16S ribosomal RNA". It matches the Rfam family "Bacterial small subunit ribosomal RNA", at positions 29 to 526 of the family's 1533-position model. The record is from RNAcentral.
AACGAACGCUGGCGGCAGGCCUAAUACAUGCAAGUCGAACGAGUGGCGGACGGGUGAGUAAUGUCUGGGAAACUGCCUGAUGGAGGGGGAUAACUACUGGAAACGGUAGCUAAUACCGCAUACCAUCGGAUGUGCCCAGAUGGGAUUAGCUAGUCGGUGGGGUAAAGGCUCACCUAGGCGACGAUCCCUAGCUGGUCUGAGAGGGUGACCAGCCACACUGGAACUGAGACACGGUCCAGACUCCUACGGGAGGCAGCAGUGGGGAAUAUUGCACAAUGGGCGAAAGCCUGAUGCAGCCAUGCCGCGUGUAUGAAGAAGGCCUUCGGGUUGUAAAGUUCUGUCAGCGGGGAGGCGUUACCCGCAGAGGAAGCAACGGCUAACUCCGUGCCAGCAGCCGCGGUAAUUC